Molecule: ribosomal RNA, 451 nt
Filed under: uncultured bacterium
Lineage: Bacteria
Description: partial 16S ribosomal RNA
Rfam family: Bacterial small subunit ribosomal RNA
Source: RNAcentral
GUGGGGAAUAUUGGACAAUGGGGGGAACCCUGAUCCAGCCAUGCCGCGUGUGUGAAGAAGGCCUUUUGGUUGUAAAGCACUUUAAGCGAGGAGGAGGCUACCGAGAUUAAUACUCUUGGAUAGUGGACGUUACUCGCAGAAUAAGCACCGGCUAACUCUGUGCCAGCAGCCGCGGUAAUACAGAGGGUGCAAGCGUUAAUCGGAUUUACUGGGCAUAAAGCGCGCGUAGGUGGCAAAUUAAGUCAAAUGUGAAAUCCACGAGCUUAACUUGGGAAUUGCAUUCGAUACUGGUUGGCUAGAGUAUGGGAGAGGAUGGUAGAAUUCCAGGUGUAGCGGUGAAAUGCGUAGAGAUCUGGAGGAAUACCGAUGGCGAAGGCAGCCAUCUGGCCUAAUACUGACACUGAGGUGCGAAAGCAUGGGGAGCAAACAGGAUUAGAAACCCUGGUAGUCC